This 70-nucleotide transfer RNA is filed under the name Rondeletiola minor. RNAcentral describes it as "tRNA-Ser". Lineage: Eukaryota; Metazoa; Mollusca; Cephalopoda; Sepiida; Sepiolidae. The record is from RNAcentral.
AAAGGUAAUUUAGGUAAUAAAAUAAGGCUGCUAACCUUAUUUUGAGCAUCUCGAAACUGUUCUACCUUUU